UUUUUUUUUUUUUUUUUUUUUUUUUUUUUUUUUUUUUC
Molecule: non-coding RNA, 38 nt
Filed under: Alexandrium minutum
Lineage: Eukaryota; Dinophyceae; Gonyaulacales; Pyrocystaceae
Source: RNAcentral